This 478-nucleotide ribosomal RNA is filed under the name uncultured bacterium. RNAcentral describes it as "partial 16S ribosomal RNA". It matches the Rfam family "Bacterial small subunit ribosomal RNA", at positions 28 to 506 of the family's 1533-position model. The record is from RNAcentral.
GAUGAACGCUAGCGGGAGGCCUAACACAUGCAAGCCGAGCGGUAUUUGUUCUUCGGAACUGCGAGAGCGGCGCACGGGUGCGGAACACGUGUGCAACCUGCCUUUAUCUGGGGGAUAGCCUUUCGAAAGGAAGAUUAAUACCCCAUAAUAUAUUUAGUGGCAUCAUUUGAUAUUGAAAACUCCGGUGGAUAGAGAUGGGCACGCGCAAGAUUAGGUAGUUGGUGAGGUAACGGCUCACCAAGUCAAUGAUCUUUAGGGGGCCUGAGAGGGUGAUCCCCCACACUGAUACUGAGACACGGACCAGACUGCUACGGGAGGCAGCGGUGAGGAAGAUUGGAGAGUAGGUUUGAGCCUGAUCCGGCAAUCCGGCGUGAAAGACGACGGCCCUAUAGGUUGUAAACUUCUUUUGUAUAGGGAUAAACCAACUCUCGUGAGAGUAGCUGAAGGUACUAUACAAAUAAGCACCGCCAAACUCCUU